RNAcentral lists this ribosomal RNA (494 nucleotides) under uncultured bacterium. RNAcentral's name for it is "partial 16S ribosomal RNA". It matches the Rfam family "Bacterial small subunit ribosomal RNA", at positions 28 to 507 of the family's 1533-position model. The record is from RNAcentral.
GACGAACGCUGGCGGCGUGCUUAACACAUGCAAGUCGAACGGAGAGGCCUGCUUUCCCUUGUGGAUUGCGGGUACUCGAGUGGCGAACGGGUGAGUAACACGUGAGUGAUCUGCCCCCAACUUGGGUAUAAGCCUGGGAAACUGGGUCUAAUUCCCGAUAGGACUGCAGGGUGGUGCCUGUGGUGGAAAACGAUUUUCUAGUGGUUGGGGAUGAGCUCGCGGCCUAUCAGCUUGUUGGUGGGGUAAUGGCCUACCAAGGCGGCGACGGGUAGCCGGCCUGAGAGGGUGGACGGCCACAUUGGGACUGAGGUACGGCCCAGACUCCUACGGGAGGCAGCAGUGGGGAAUAUUGCACAAUGGGCGGAAGCCUGAUGCAGCGACGCCGCGUGGGGGAUGACGGCCUUCGGGUUGUAAACUCCUUUCGACCGCGAGGAAGCCACCUGGUUGGAAGGGUGGUGACGGUAGUGGUGGAAGAAGCACCGGCUAACUACGUG